CUUUGGACUUUAACACGAGCUAGCAGGAAACUUGCACAAUGUUCGGGACAGGCUGACAGUCAAUUAUCAGCAUCUUUUUUUCUCCACAGCACUUCCCCUUUUGUACAUACAUCCUCCAAUUCCAAUUCUGGACUUUUAAAAGGAGACCAUUUCUUUUUCCAGACAGUGAUUUCCUUCAAUAUCUCCCCGUGUCUCUGUGUGUUUUCAACAGGCGGACCCAUGGGGCUACAGUCUUGCAAGCCUUGCAACUCCUGCCUGCAAAGUAAGGAGGAAUGCCGACCGGCUGGCGGCUGCUGCUCGUGUGUGUGUGACGACUGGAGGAAUUGCUCUGAACACUGCUGUGACAUCUGCUGCCAGAUGUGUGUGGACGUGUGCUCUUGUGUGUGUUCAAGAGACUGCAGCUACACCUUCUGUACAUUUUGCCUCGGCCUGGUGCGGAAAUGUGUCUGGGGGGUACAAAAUGAGACAUUGUAGGCACAACAGGCUGUGAUGAAUCCGGUACAGCAUGCUGAGUGAACACGUGACUGAAGCCAAAAGAUUCAUCGAUUUAAGACACGGAGGUUGCUGCCUGAUUGGAAUUCAUGCACCUCAUCGAGGCCUGGAGUUGGACACUGGUCAUUUUUUCACUGAGGAACACCUGUACCAUCUGCAGCAAUCCAGUGCAACAACAGCAACACCAACUUCAACCUGAACAAUGACUGUAGAGUGACUCAUAAAGGUCGUUAAAAGGACAAGAUUUAUUGGAGGACUGUGGUAUUGGAUUUGAUUAGACUCUACUGCUGUACCUAUUAAAUGGGUAACUCGAUAUAUAAACUGGUGCCAUGAAUCUUGUCAAUUAAAGUGAUUUAUCAAUUUAA
Molecule: long non-coding RNA, 857 nt
Organism: Sebastes umbrosus (honeycomb rockfish)
Lineage: Eukaryota; Metazoa; Chordata; Actinopteri; Perciformes; Sebastidae
Exons: 3
Source: RefSeq, a predicted model, not a curated record